UACGUAGGGGGCAAGCGUUGUCCGGAUUUAUUGGGCGUAAAGAGCGUGUAGGCGGCCAGAUAGGUCCGUUGUGAAAACUCGAGGCUCAACCUCGAGACGCCGAUGGAAACCAUUUGGCUAGAGUCCGGAAGAGGAGAGUGGAAUUCCUGGUGUAGCGGUGAAAUGCGCAGAUAUCAGGAGGAACACCGAUGGCGAAGGCAGGUCUCUGGGCUGACACUGACGCUCAUGCACGAAAGCGUGGGGAGCAAACAGG
This 253-nucleotide ribosomal RNA is filed under the name uncultured bacterium. RNAcentral describes it as "partial 16S ribosomal RNA". It matches the Rfam family "Bacterial small subunit ribosomal RNA", at positions 524 to 776 of the family's 1533-position model. The record is from RNAcentral.